ACUCCUUUAGUAUUAAUUAGUACAACUGACUUCCAAUCAGUUAGUUCCAGUCUGAUCUGGAAAGGAGUA
RNAcentral lists this transfer RNA (69 nucleotides) under Glyphonycteris daviesi (Davies's big-eared bat). Its description in RNAcentral is "tRNA-Gly". It matches the Rfam family "tRNA". From Rfam's summary of the family: Transfer RNA (tRNA) molecules are approximately 80 nucleotides in length. Their secondary structure includes four short double-helical elements and three loops (D, anti-codon, and T loops). Lineage: Eukaryota; Metazoa; Chordata; Mammalia; Chiroptera; Phyllostomidae. The record is from RNAcentral.